This 412-nucleotide long non-coding RNA is filed under the name Aedes aegypti (yellow fever mosquito). Its description in RNAcentral is "lncRNA AAEL021226". Lineage: Eukaryota; Metazoa; Arthropoda; Insecta; Diptera; Culicidae. The record is from RNAcentral.
GUAAUGUCUUAGGUUUGAAAGCAAUAUCAUGGCAAAGGAUUACCGUGGCGCAGAAUUCAUAAAUCAUCAAUUUUCUAGACAAAUUCUCGGAUAAAUUUCAGGAUAUAAUAGAUACUACUUUGAGCUUGAGCUUGAGCUUGGUCCCGUGGUUGCUACUCGACUGUAGCAAGAUCAGCUGCACUUACAUAAGCAACAAUGGCGCCUGUCAUGCCAGGCAGACCAAUGAAGAGAAGGGGCAGGAAUUGGUGUUGCAUUUGAAACUGGCCCACAAUAAACCGGAUAUACCCCUGCAUUUUCGCCAGAUCUUAGAGGCAACAUUUAGUCGCUACCAGCACAUUUAGUCGCACCAGCACGCUACCAGUACAUACACAGAACAAAGUUAAUUGUUUAAGUUCGAGGUAGCUUACGUUAU